Molecule: long non-coding RNA, 4332 nt
Organism: Triticum dicoccoides
Lineage: Eukaryota; Viridiplantae; Streptophyta; Magnoliopsida; Poales; Poaceae
Exons: 3
Source: RefSeq, a predicted model, not a curated record
AGCUCCACCCCACACCUAUCGUCUUCAACCCAUGACGACCGGCGCCCCCGAUCCAGCCCUGCUUCCCGCCGACACCCGAGCCCCCUCUCACCAGCUCGCGGCCGCCACGACGAGCUCCCUCCCCACCAGGCAUCGCUGUCGCGACGAGCCCCCUCCCACAACCGCGCCGCCGCCCACCUCGAGCCCCCUUCCACCGCCGCACCGCCGCCGCGACGAGCCCCUUCCCACCAUCGCGCUGUCGCCCGCCCCGAGCCCCUUCCAAGCAGCGCCCCGUCGCCGGCCCCUAGCCCCAUCCUAACAGCGCCCCGCCGCCGCCCCGAUCCCCCUUCCACCAGUGUGUCGGCGUCGCCUCUGCUUCCAUGGCCACGGCACCGAUUUCCCCUCCACCGCCGCCCUGAUUCACCACCUCCGGACUGCUUCCCCUCCCACCUUGGACCUCCCACCUCCCUGGACCAGCUCUGGCCGUCCUCGAGUUCGCCUCCUCUCUCUCUGGUAAUCGACGAAUCUAUUUAUGAGCAUAUUAGUUUGUCAUUUCAUCACAUCGUCAGUUCGCCACGGCCACCGCCUCUCCAUCCACGCAACCUCACCACGGCCAGUACACAACCACCACCCCUGUCUGUUCACAGCAACCAUCCCUGUCCGUUCACCUGUACAAGAUGUCGAUGCCGAGCAUGCCGCCCUGCCCGACCAUGGCUCCUUGUCUCCACUACGGGAUCCCGGCCCGACAGGCUCCCCGGAGCGUGUCUCGCCAGGUCGCCUCCUGGUAGGAUCCGCUGCCUCGGUUUCAUCAACCGUCGUCGCCUCUCCACCAUGUCUCCUCCCCCAACCCCUAUCCAGUUCCAGCGACCUCCACCAGGUGUGCGUCGGUCUCGCCGUCCCAUGUGGAAAAUAUGGUGGCUUUCAGCAAGUAAUCUUUCUCUAACGGGGAUCCGAUGCUUGCGCCACCGAGAGCCUGAUCCUGCUUGUUGCAUGCUCACGGUGACCACAAGCAUUGUAAGAAAAAAGCUUUGGUGUUCUUGUUUUGUUCAAAUGUUGUGUGCAGAAUGUUUUAAAAAAAUCCUAAAAUUUGAGUGUCUUUUACUUCUUUGUGGUAAUGUGGACAUGUCGAAAGCAGCCCACGCGUGCCGCCACCACCAUCGUUUGCUGCCCCUCGGCACGCACAGUCGUGGUCGAGCUUUAGUUUCAGUGCAAUUCUUAUUUUAGUUCUCAGAAUGCUAGAAAUGCAGGAUAUUUGUGUGAAUCUUGCUUGUUUCAGAGAGAAAAAGAGUUGGUACUUGCAUCACAUGGUGUACUGAACAAACAUACGCAUGCACAUAAACAUGCUAACAACUCCUCUUGCUAUACACAUGCUUGUACUUGUUUAUUUUUCUUGUUUGGAAAAUGGUUUCCUUUCCUCCUAACAGCUUUUCUCAAAUUUCAUUUAAUUUAGUUUCAAAUCAAACCAGAGCUAAUGCAUAAAUGUCAUUGGGUGAGGUUGCUAGGAAGAUUUGCAUUAGAGAAUGCUUUGUUGGAAAAGCUUCUAUUAGUAUUAUUAACAACAAAACUCUCGGUGGACAUAGACCGUAAAUCUUGAGACUAUUUUCGCCAUUUUUUGCCCUUUAGUGUUUGGAAAUUCUAAACUUUGUUGAUUUCAACUUGAUGAAUACAAAGAUAUAUGCCAUGAGUUUUAGAUUAUAUCUCUGCUGUUGUAAUUGCUUGUUGGUGUUUAUUAGUAGAUAUACAUGUAUGAGUUCGCUCCUGACUAUUGUAAUAAAGUUUUUUAGGAUUUGGAAGUAUCUAGUCUGGAUUGGCAGUGUACAUACAUAAAAAUUAAUCCCUGAUGGAUAUUUAGGAAUCACUAUUUUUCUGAACAGGGUAAGAUGAUUCAAUAUGGAGUACAGUUGUUGUUGAAUAUGACUUGUGUACUUGCUAGACAAUAGUGUAUGAACUUUUCCGAUGCAUAUAGCAAGCCGAGAAAAAAAGAGGACUUGUACAACGCUUCUCCAGGUUGUCUGCUACGACACUCUCUCACAAUAAUCUCUCUAUUUCUCUGCUUCUGCUAUUAAAAUCCUUACAUGUGUUGUUCUGCUGAUUGAGUACUUUGGGAAGAUGCGAAAAGAACAUGUUUAGAUGGUUGCUUUUCAUGUGUAUCUGUCACUAUUCCUGUGAGUACCAAUUUUUUUAAAUGUUUAUUUUGUGCUCCCGCGUAUGUAUUUGGGCAGUACAAACACAUCAUUAUAGUGGGUAUAGAUGCGGCACCAUGGGCAGUACAAAGACAUCGUCAUAGUGAGUACACAUGUGGGCAUGUGGCACCUUGGGAAGUACAAACACAUCGUCAUAGUGAGUACAGAUGUUAUGCAGUAUGCAUCUUUUUAAUACAAAAUUUUUAAAAGUUUCUUUCUGAACUUCUCCCAAUUAAUAUGCAUGAACUUGAUUAUCUUUUUAACAUGUACUUGUAUCAGCUUCUUAGAUUUUGUGUGUGUGCUUGUAACACAAUCAGUUCAGAUCUCGAGAGACCACAAGUUCAAGUUCACUAGCAUCUAUAAAUGCUGGUAGCACUACUAGUGUUUACAAAUUUGUACCUAAGAACUAAGCUUGCAUGUUGUUACUUCUAUGGAGGCACUGACCACAUAAUUUUUUUGGACCAACCACUGACCUGAGAAUUUGACAAGGUGCUCAUUGUAUUCUCUCAGUCUUGAUUGUCUUGCAGUGCUUAUAAGCUUGACAUCUUUGAUGAAUCUAGCCCGAACCGAAGCUUGUUGGCGAGCCGGGCGGUGGGCCAACCACAAGGCAAUGCCGCCGGCAGGGCGCUAGACGGCCGCCGAGCGCGGCAUGAGCCUUUUUGACCCCAUUUCCAGGUUCAGCGCCAAUGAUCUUGCCAUGGGGUUCGCGAAGGUGCUAGCUAGCCUUUGCUUCCAUUUUCUUCAAAAGCUCUGCUAACCCAUUAGCCACUGAUAAGAUGACUUCGCUUCCAAGUAGCCGCUCAAAGUAGUGGUCAUUUAAUGAAAAUGUUUCCUAUAAAACCAGUUUCUAAUGUUUACAUGUACAGGCAUAAUAUGCAGUAUGCUGUUCCAUUUUUGAUUGAAUUGAAACCACUUAAAAUGCAAAGACUUAUGAUAGUCACUGAAUCAGUAGUACCAUCCAUUUUGUUCGCAUAGAGACAAACCCGUACAGAUACUUAUGAGGCACCAGAUAUUCCAUUUUCUUGUGCAGUUGUGGCUCCACGUUGUUGACCUCCCAGAAGAACCUUCACUAUGCCCUGAAUUUUACUAGCUCAAGUGUCAUGCUAUUUCCUAUUUGCCUUUGUGUCACAAUUACUUUGUUACAUUAGAUUAGAGAAGGUAUUACAUAUAUCCUAGGAGUAUGUUGUUCUUUUGUAUAUUGAACUGAAAACCAGUUAGUGCAAAAGUCUAGAACUACAACCAUCAAAGAAGUGCCAGUAUCUUCAUUUUGUUAGAAAUAUAUGCAUUUUUGUCUAUAUAAAGGACAACAAAAAUAUGUGUUGUAUGUUAAAAGAACCUGAGAUGUUCAGGAAAGAGUUUCAAAAUAAAAAGGUUCUAGCAGGCCAUAUAUUGAAUCUGAGAAAGUUCGGAGAUGAACAAUAAAUAAGUAUAAUAACAACAAAGAAAAAAUUACUGAUUGGUUUACUCUAAGUUUCCACUGUUUAAGUUCAGCUCAAUUUCUAAUUUAAGUUCAGUUCAUAGGAGUGCUUGUAAUCAAUUAGUUUGGUCUAACUUAUGUUCCAUGAAUUUCUAGUACCCUAAUAGACUUGGUAGUGACAUGAGCUCCCUCUCCACCACUCCAGGAUUUGCAGCGCUGUCCUAGUCCAGCCCCAUGGCAUACAUUAACUUAGUUGUUAUAGCAAAAACAGUACAGAACUCUAUUUAUUUUUAUUUUUGAACAUAUGAUGUUACUAUACAUUAACUUGGUUGUUCUUAUUACAUGGACUUGUACAUUGCCUUCUCAGGUUGUGCGUCUACUACCCAAAAGUCCGCAAUACUUCAACGGAAAAUGUCUACAUCAGUUAUAACUCAAAAAGACCAUAAGUUCGGAGGAAGAAAAAGAUCACCGGCACUUUUGGUCCACACAGGCCGUCAGAGGAAGAAAAUUGUUUCUUCAUUUUGUUCAGGUUGCUCUAGGAUUUGUCAAUGUUCUGGAGGGAAGUAAUUAACUUGGGGUUUGGAGUCGUACCUACUGUGUCACCAAAUAUGUGUUGAAUAGUUCUAUUCAUCUCCAUACAUAAGUUCAAAGAUUUCAGAUUUUCCCUAGUGGUUGUUGAUCGGAGAGAUGUGUAUUGAUGUACCUUUCCUGCUGGAUCCUUCUUUUAAAUAAAUGUUUGCUAUUUUUUUUAUA